This 35-nucleotide transfer RNA is filed under the name Reboulia hemisphaerica. Its description in RNAcentral is "partial tRNA-Phe". RNAcentral also lists the same sequence under 1 other name. Lineage: Eukaryota; Viridiplantae; Streptophyta; Marchantiopsida; Marchantiales; Aytoniaceae. The record is from RNAcentral.
GCCGGGAUAGCUCAGUUGGUAGAGCAGAGGACUGA